RNAcentral lists this ribosomal RNA (319 nucleotides) under uncultured eukaryote. Its description in RNAcentral is "partial 18S ribosomal RNA". It matches the Rfam family "Eukaryotic small subunit ribosomal RNA", at positions 1470 to 1796 of the family's 1831-position model. The record is from RNAcentral.
CCCUUAGAUGUUCUGGGCAGCACGCGCGCUACAAUGGUGUUCGCAAACGGAUGCAUUCUCGAAGGAGAAUGCCAAUCUUGGAAUCUAUGCCUUGGUCGGGACAGUUGCUUGCAAUUUUUCGACUCGAACCAGGAAUUCCUUGUAAUCGUGAUUCAUCACAUCACGAUGAAUACGUCCCUGCCCUUUGUACACACCGCCCGUCGCUCCUACCGAUCGAAGAGUUAGGUGAAUUGUUUUGAUCGAUAAGAUUUGACUAUGGUCAACUCUCGUUGUGAAAUUCUGUGAAUCUGACUGUUUAGAGGAAGGAAAAGUCGUAACA